UUUGCGUCGAAGGUAUACCGGUAAGGAGUGCUGGAGCGAAUAGAAGUGAGCAUGCAGGCAUGAGUAGCGAUAAUUAAUGUGAGAAUCAUUAACGCCGUAAACCCAAGGUUUCCUACGCGAUGCUCGUCAUCGUAGGGUUAGUCGGGUCCUAAGUCGAGUCCGAAAGGGGUAGACGAUGGCAAAUUGGUUAAUAUUCCAAUACCAACAUUAGUGUGCGAUGGAAGGACGCUUAGGGCUAAGGGGGCUAGCGGAUGGAAGUGCUAGUCUAAGGUCGUAGGAGGUUGUACAGGCAAAUCCGUAUAACAAUACUCCGAGAACUGAAAGGCUUUUUGAAGUCUUCGGAUGGAUAGAAGAACCCCUGAUGCCGUCGAGCCAAGAAAAGUUUCUAAGUUUAGCUAAUGUUGCCCGUACCGUAAACCGACACAGGUGGGUGGGAUGAGUAUUCUAAGGCGCGUGGAAGAACUCUCUUUAAGGAACUCUGCAAAAUAGCACCGUAUCUUCGGUAUAAGGUGUGGUUAGCUUUGUAUUAGGAUUUACUCCGAAAGCAAGGAAACUUACAACAAAGAGUCCCUCCCGACUGUUUACCAAAAACACAGCACUCUGCUAACUCGUAAGAGGAUGUAUAGGGUGUGACGCCUGCCCGGUGCUCGAAGGUUAAUUGAUGGGGUUAGCAUUAGCGAAGCUCUUGAUCGAAGCCCGAGUAAACGGCGGCCGUAACUAUAACGGUCCUAAGGUAGCGAAAUUCCUUGUCGGUUAAAUACCGACCUGCAUGAAUGGCGUAACGAGAUGGGAGCUGUCUCAAAGAGGGAUCCAGUGAAAUUGUAGUGGAGGUGAAAAUUCCUCCUACCCGCGGCAAGACGGAAAGACCCCGUGGACCUUUACUACAGCUUGACACUGCUACUUGGAUAAGAAUGUGCAGGAUAGGUGGGAGGCUUUGAGUAUAUGACGCCAGUUGUAUAUGAGCCAUUGUUGAGAUACCACUCUUUCUUAUUUGGGUAGCUAACCAGCUUGAGUUAUCCUCAAGUGGGACAAUGUCUGGUGGGUAGUUUGACUGGGGCGGUCGCCUCCCAAAUAAUAACGGAGGCUUACAAAGGUUGGCUCAGAACGGUUGGAAAUCGUUCGUAGAGUAUAAAGGUAUAAGCCAGCUUAACUGCAAGACAUACAAGUCAAGCAGAGACGAAAGUCGGUCUUAGUGAUCCGGUGGUUCUGUGUGGAAGGGCCAUCGCUCAAAGGAUAAAAGGUACCCCGGGGAUAACAGGCUGAUCUCCCCCAAGAGCUCACAUCGACGGGGAGGUUUGGCACCUCGAUGUCGGCUCAUCGCAUCCUGGGGCUGGAGCAGGUCCCAAGGGUAUGGCUGUUCGCCAUUUAAAGCGGUACGCGAGCUGGGUUCAGAACGUCGUGAGACAGUUCGGUCCCUAUCUGCCGUGGGCGUAAGAAGAUUGAAGAGAUUUGACCCUAGUACGAGAGGACCGGGUUGAACAAACCACUGGUGUAGCUGUUGUUCUGCCAAGAGCAUCGCAGCGUAGCUAAGUUUGGAAAGGAUAAACGCUGAAAGCAUCUAAGCGUGAAGCCAACUCUAAGAUGAAUCUUCUCUAAGCUCUCUAGAAGACUACUAGUUUGAUAGGCUGGGUGUGUAAUGGAUGAAAGUCCUUUAGCUGACCAGUACUAAUAGAGCGUUUGGCUUAUCUUUAAUAAAGCAU
Molecule: ribosomal RNA, 1700 nt
Filed under: Campylobacter jejuni
Lineage: Bacteria; Pseudomonadati; Campylobacterota; Epsilonproteobacteria; Campylobacterales; Campylobacteraceae
Description: partial 23S ribosomal RNA
Rfam family: Bacterial large subunit ribosomal RNA
Source: RNAcentral